GCCGCGGUAAUACGGAGGGUGCAAGCGUUGUCCGGAUUUAUUGGGUUUAAAGGGUGCGUAGGUGGCCUGUUAAGUCCGGGGUGAAAGCCCACAGCUCAACUGUGGAACUGCCCUGGAUACUGGCGGGCUUGAGUCCAGACGAGGUUGGCGGAAUGGAAGCUGUAGCGGUGAAAUGCAUAGAUAGCUUCCAGAACCCCGAUUGCGUAGGCAGCUGACUAGGCUGGUACUGACACUGAGGCACGAAAGCGUGGGGAGCGAACAGGAUU
This 266-nucleotide ribosomal RNA is filed under the name Symbiodinium sp. Mp. RNAcentral describes it as "partial Bacterial small subunit ribosomal RNA". It matches the Rfam family "Bacterial small subunit ribosomal RNA", at positions 514 to 779 of the family's 1533-position model. Lineage: Eukaryota; Dinophyceae; Suessiales; Symbiodiniaceae. The record is from RNAcentral.